This is a long non-coding RNA of Chlorocebus sabaeus (green monkey), 1027 nucleotides long. RefSeq lists it as uncharacterized. NCBI's taxonomy places the organism in Eukaryota, Metazoa, Chordata, Mammalia, Primates, Cercopithecidae. The record is from RefSeq and is a predicted model, not a curated record.
AUUAGGUUUCCCCUAAAACAGAUUCACAAGAAGGAGCGUGAACACUCAUAUUAAAAGUCUGACCUACUAACAGAACCAUCCAGUGUAAGAUAAAUGUGAUUUAUGAAGUCUUCCAAGCACAAGUCCUUCCUGCCUUUGCUUGUGGACUGGGGCCCCUACUUGUGUGUAAUCCUACACCCGCCCUGAGGCAGGAUCCACUCCUUCAUUUCUCCAGCGCCAAAUUACAGACAAUUCAGACAGAGAAGACAGGCUUGAAGGAAACUUGAGGGACAGCGGAAAGUGAUGGGAACAAACGUUAGAUUUGAGGGAUUAUGAGACGGGCAUGACAAAUUGUAUUCUUGUAGGUUAGGAAUUAUGAUUAUCCUAUAUAUGGCUAAAAUUAUCUUCUAUGUGUUCAUUUUCAAAACAAAAUAUAACCCAAUGUGAAAACGGGAAGCUGGAAAGGUUUUGCUUUCCUUUGUUCUCCUUCAUAAAUAGUAUUCUUAGAUGCAGGUGGGAGAUGAGUCUCCAGUCCCACCUGCCUCUCCCAGCCCCCCACCUCACUCCCGCGGUAGUGCAAGAGAAGAGAGUAUCAGUAGCGCCAGAGGCCAGGGCCCAGGGUGGGUGCCCUGGCGUCCGGUUUCAUUGACUUGCUAAUUGGAAGACUACAAAGCCUUUCGCACAGGGAAAGGUGAAGAGGGGGUGGCGAGGGGGGCACCUGCGUUGACGAAUAGACACACAAAGAAAAAGAAAGCUUCGCAAAGGCGGAGCUGAUUUUCCGAAUGGUAGCCAUCUGGAGCUAGCGGCAAGCAAGAGGACAGCAAGCGGACGGCGAGUGCGUUUCGUUGGAGGUUCGGAAAACCAGCGAAAUAAAGUGCUUUAUACAUUCAGAGAAACUUCUCUGGUAACAAACUAUGGAAAUGACCACUGAAAGUAGUCUUGAUGGCAGCUUUCUUAAAGGCACGGACUAUAUCAUGUUCAUAUUUUUAUUAAAUGUCCAGCAAUGAAAAGGUGCUUAAUAAAAAUGUGUUUGUCAAUUGUUUUGAAA